This 28-nucleotide non-coding RNA is filed under the name Bombyx mori (domestic silkworm). The record is from RNAcentral. Lineage: Eukaryota; Metazoa; Arthropoda; Insecta; Lepidoptera; Bombycidae.
UCGAGGCGAAUCGUUGAUACCCGGUGUC